Molecule: non-coding RNA, 170 nt
Filed under: uncultured Cypionkella sp.
Lineage: Bacteria; Pseudomonadati; Pseudomonadota; Alphaproteobacteria; Rhodobacterales; Paracoccaceae
Description: Ruegeria cis52 sRNA
Rfam family: Ruegeria cis52 sRNA
About the family: Cis-encoded. Targets oligo/dipeptide ABC transporter.
Source: RNAcentral
GCAGCGCGUGUUUCAUCACCACAUCGCGGAACCUGACGCCCUUCAGGCGGGCGGUGCGGAUAUAUUGCUGCGUCAUCACCUCUGUCAUCGAGGCGCGGGUCAUCCGGGCGAUAUAGCCGAUGCCGUAAAGCGCGAUGGUCAUUACCGGCAGGGUAAAGUUCCAGAAGGUG